UCCCUGGUGGCUCAGAUGGUAAAGCAUCUGCCUACAAUGCGGGAGACCCAGGUUCGAUCCCUGGGUUGGGAA
Molecule: non-coding RNA, 72 nt
Organism: Bos taurus (domestic cattle)
Lineage: Eukaryota; Metazoa; Chordata; Mammalia; Artiodactyla; Bovidae
Source: Rfam